ACGGUUAUAAAUCAACACCUUGAUUAUAAGCAUGAAAUCCCCUGAGUGAAACAACGAAUUGCUGUGUGUAAUCUUUGCCCAUCUCCACGAUGGGCUUUUUUUUUA
RNAcentral lists this non-coding RNA (105 nucleotides) under Enterobacter cloacae subsp. cloacae. RNAcentral describes it as "antisense sRNA RprA". It matches the Rfam family "RprA RNA". Rfam says of the family: Translational regulation of the stationary phase sigma factor RpoS is mediated by the formation of a double-stranded RNA stem-loop structure in the upstream region of the rpoS messenger RNA, occluding the translation initiation site. The record is from RNAcentral. Lineage: Bacteria; Pseudomonadati; Pseudomonadota; Gammaproteobacteria; Enterobacterales; Enterobacteriaceae.